ACCGCAAGCUGAACUGUGAACAAGUCUGAAGAGUAGGAAAGAUCAAGGUAUGAAUACUUUAUUACAAUUCUUUGUCUUUUGUAGCAUAAUUUUCAAUCGCUAAACCGACUGAAACGGUCAAUGCAUUUUUGUAGAUUUUUGUAUAGUCCCCGACUCAACUAACAUUCUAACAAGCAUAUGGCCUAUAAGUCAGCAGACACAAUCUCAUGCAAAAAACUGGAGACUUGAAUUUAACCAUUACUCAUUUAAUAUACUUGUUUUCCAAAACUGCAUGACCUGAUAUAAUACUCUGCUGGCUUCUAUAUAUACUGCAGUAACAUUUCUGAUCUAUGGACGCAGUGAAUUCCAGAUAAGUCACGCUGUUAUUUAGAGAACUACCUUUAAAGUUUGAACUCCAUAUCCCUUAUGGGUUACCGCAACUUGACCUGCACAUAUCAAAUAAAGUAAAUAAACGACUCACCUAGGCUACAACAGCUUUCUGGCGCUCGUAUAUAAGGCCAUAAUAGCUAACUAAUUUGUUCAAUAUUUACUAUAGAACGAAAUUCAAGAUGGUUUCCAAAGUGUUGGUAAUGAUAACUGUGAUACUUUUGGUUUCCGCAAUUUGCGACGUCGUGGUGUAAGCUUUUACGUGUGGUGACAAUUGUUGGCACAAUGAUUGGGGAACGCGUGAUUCAGAAGCAACAAGACAUGGCUUUGGAGCAGAAAAUAAGAGAUGUCAUUACUCGUACUUUUGGGGUGGUACCUGUUUUUGUUACGGUCCACCACGUUGUGUAACCGUUCCAAAAAGAACAUGUGGUCAUAACUGCUGGCACAACGAUUGGCGACAGCGCGAGAUCAGAGAGCACACGCAGAUGGGCAGUACGGGAGAAGAUGUUCGUAUGGAUAUAGCUUUGGAGCAGCUAUUGGAGGACGAUGUUAUUGUUAUGGUUCUCCAGUCUGCACUUAAACUCAGAACCAGCAAUCGUAAUUUGAUUAAUUAAACUGAUAUUUAGAAAUUGGAACUUAGGUAGAAUACCUAAUUAGAAUUUAGUUAAUUUGGGAACUAGAAAUCAUUCCAAUUUGAACUUAAUGAGUAUAAGAAUUUAAUGCUCAUAUGUCGUAUGACCAGUUCGUUUGUAUAGUCUUUUUUUUAUUAUUAUCAUUAUUUACUUUAAAUGACAAUCACGGUGAAAUAGAG
Paramuricea clavata is the source of this 1177-nucleotide non-coding RNA. The record is from the annotation of a GenBank genome assembly. Lineage: Eukaryota; Metazoa; Cnidaria; Anthozoa; Malacalcyonacea; Plexauridae.